This 253-nucleotide ribosomal RNA is filed under the name uncultured bacterium. RNAcentral describes it as "partial 16S ribosomal RNA". It matches the Rfam family "Bacterial small subunit ribosomal RNA", at positions 524 to 776 of the family's 1533-position model. The record is from RNAcentral.
GACGGAGGGGGCUAGCGUUGCUCGGAAUCACUGGGCGUAAAGGGUGCGCAGGCGGCCGAGUGUGUUAGAUGUGAAAUCCCGAGGCUCAACCUCGGAACUGCGUCUGAAACUACUUGGCUAGAGUAUUGGAGAGGGUAACGGAAUUCACGGUGUAGUAGUGAAAUGCGUAGAUAUCGUGAGGAACACCAGAGGCGAAGGCGGUUACCUGGACAAUUACUGACGCUCAGGCACGAAAGCGUGGGGAGCAAAAGGG